This 314-nucleotide ribosomal RNA is filed under the name uncultured bacterium. RNAcentral's name for it is "partial 16S ribosomal RNA". It matches the Rfam family "Bacterial small subunit ribosomal RNA", at positions 499 to 807 of the family's 1533-position model. The record is from RNAcentral.
UUAUAAGAGACAGCAGUAGCCACGGUAAUACAGAGGGUGCGAGCGUUAAUCGGAUUUACUGGGCGUAAAGCGUGCGUAGGCGGCUUCUUAAGUCGGAUGUGAAAUCCCUGAGCUUAACUUAGGAAUUGCAUUCGAUACUGGGAAGCUAGAGUAUGGGAGAGGAUGGUAGAAUUCCAGGUGUAGCGGUGAAAUGCGUAGAGAUCUGGAGGAAUACCGAUGGCGAAGGCAGCCAUCUGGCCUAAUACUGACGCUGAGGUACGAAAGCAUGGGGAGCAAACAGGAUUAGAUACCCCGGUAGUCCCUGUCUCUUAUAC